Molecule: ribosomal RNA, 344 nt
Filed under: uncultured bacterium
Lineage: Bacteria
Description: bacterial SSU rRNA
Rfam family: Bacterial small subunit ribosomal RNA
Source: RNAcentral
GAUGAACGCCGGCGGUGUGCCUAAUACAUGCAAGUCGUACGCACUGGCCCAACUGAUUGAUGGUGCUUGCACCUGAUUGACGAUGGAUCACCAGUGAGUGGCGGACGGGUGAGUAACACGUAGGUAACUUGCCCCGGAGCGGGGAUGACAUUUGGAAACAGAUGCUAAUACCGCAUAACAAACAAAAGCCACAUGGCGUUUUUGUUUGAAAGAUGGCUUUGGCUAUCACUCUGGGAUGGACCUGCGGUGCAUUAGCUAGUUGGUAGAGGUACGUCUACCAAGGCGAUGAUGCAUAGCCGAGUUGAGAGACUGAUCGGCCACAAUGGAACUGAGACACGGUCCAU